Molecule: ribosomal RNA, 503 nt
Filed under: uncultured bacterium
Lineage: Bacteria
Description: partial 16S ribosomal RNA
Rfam family: Bacterial small subunit ribosomal RNA
Source: RNAcentral
AACGAACGCUGGCGGCACGUUUUAAGCAUGCAAGUCGAAUGGCAGCAGGGGCAACUCUGUGAGAAUGGCGAACGGGUGAGUAACACGUAGGUGAUCUGCCUUGAGGAUGGGGAUAGCCUGUGGAAACACAGGGUAAUACCGAAUGAGCUGACGAGACUUUGGUUUUGUUAGUAAAGGUGCUACGGCACCGCCUUGAGAGGAGCCUGCGGCUGAUUAGCCAGUUGGUGGGGUAAGAGCUUACCAAGGCGACGAUCAGUAGCCGGCCUGCGAGGGUGUACGGCCACACGGGAACUGAGACACGGUCCAGACUCCUACGGGAGGCAGCAGCUAAGAAUCUUCCGCAAUGGGCGAAAGCCUGACGGAGCGAUGCCGCGUGAUCGAUGAAGGUCGAGAGAUUGUAAAGAUCUUUUCUACAUGAGGAAUAAGUCUGGGAGGGAAUGCCCGGAUGAUGACGUUAGUGUAGGAAUAAGCCCCGGCUAAUUACGUGCCAGCCGCCGCGGUAA